RNAcentral lists this ribosomal RNA (393 nucleotides) under uncultured bacterium. RNAcentral describes it as "partial 16S ribosomal RNA". It matches the Rfam family "Bacterial small subunit ribosomal RNA", at positions 523 to 918 of the family's 1533-position model. The record is from RNAcentral.
AUACGGAGGAUGCGAGCGUUAUCCGGAUUUAUUGGGUUUAAAGGGAGCGUAGGUGGGAUAUUAAGUCAGCUGUGAAAGUUUGGGGCUCAACCUUAAAAUUGCAGUUGAUACUGGUUUCCUUGAGUACGGUACAGGUGGGCGGAAUUCGUGGUGUAGCGGGGAAAUGCUUAGAUAUCACGAAGAACUCCGAUCGUGAAGGCAGCUCACCGGGCCGGAACUGACACUGAUGCUCGAAAGUGCGGGUAUCAAACAGGAUUAGAUACCCUGGUAGUCCGCACAGUAAACGAUGAAUACUCGCUGUUUGCGAUACACAGUAAGCGGCCAAGCGAAAGCGUUAAGUAUUCCACCUGGGGAGUACGCCGGCAACGGUGAAACUCAAAUGAAUUGACGGGG